Long non-coding RNA from Helianthus annuus (common sunflower), 543 nucleotides. RefSeq lists it as uncharacterized. The transcript has 4 exons. The record is from RefSeq and is a predicted model, not a curated record. Lineage: Eukaryota; Viridiplantae; Streptophyta; Magnoliopsida; Asterales; Asteraceae.
CCACAGGGACCAAAACCUCAAUUUACUCUAACAAAAUUCGAACUUGCAAACAUUACAAUUUCUUAAAGAAUAAACGUAAACAUUAUUUGUGGUUCAAUGACGUUGUCUUCUGGUUUCAUGGAUUCCGCACCUGGAGACUGGUCACCGUCAAGAUUUCCUGCAAACUAUGCAUGAGAUCUUUAAGCAAGUGUGGGACUUGUCUCAUGAGGACAAAGACAGCAUGCUUUGUCUCAAGGAAUGUUGUAUUGCUCUGUACCUUGUGGAGCGGUUCAAGGAUAUCUAUGAGGGUCUAACACCUGCUGCUUCACAAUGGAUACCUUCACUAGGCGUCCAACAAGCACAUGGGAUGACGGAGCCAUGACAGGUGGCCCUGUUUGAGCUAAAACCACCUCAUCCAGUUCCAAUAACUAAGGCUGAUGAAUAGCAGCAGAACCAGCGUAAGCAGAUGAUUCCUGUGUUGAAGAAGCAUCUAGAGGACAAACUUAGCACUGAGGAGCAAAAAUCAUUGACUUCUAAGUUCCAGGAGGAGGCAACUGAGGGAGA